AAAAAGGAAAUGGAAACCGAAUAAGGAAAUGAAAAUCGAAAAAGGAAAUAGAAACCGAAUAAGGAAAUAGAAACCGAAAAAGGAAAUGAAUAUUGAAAAGGAAAAAAGAAAACCGAAUAAGGAAAAAGAACCGAAUAAGGAAAAAGAAACCGAAUAAGGAAAUGGAAAUUGAAUAAGGAAAUGAAAAUCCAAUAAGGAAAUAGAAACCGAAUAAGGAACUAGAAACCGAAAAAGGAAAUGAAUAUUGAAAAAGGAAAAAGAAACCGAAUUAGGAAAUGAAAAUCGAAAUAAGGAAACGAAAAUCCAAUUAGGAAAUAGAAACUGAAUAAGGAAAUAGAAACCGAAAAAGGAAAUGAAUAUUGAAAAAGGAAAAAGAAACCGAAUAAGGAAAUGAAAAUCGAAUAAGGAAAUGGAAAUCGAAUAAGGAAAUGAAAAUCCAAUAAGGAAAUAGAAACUGAAUAAGGAAAUAGAAACCGAAUAAGGAAAUGAAUAUUGAAAAAGGAAAAAGAAACCGAAUAAGGAAAUGAAAAUUGAAUAAGGAAAUGAAAAUCGAAUAAGGAAAUGAAAAUCCAAUAAGGAAAUAGAAACCGAAUAAGGAAAUAGAAACCGAAAAAGGAAAUGAAUAUUGAAAAAGGAAGAAGAAACCGAAUAAGGAAAAGAAAAUCGAAUAAGGAAAUGAAAAUCGAAUAAGGAAAUGGAAAUCGAAUAAGGAUGAUAAUCGAAAAAGGAAAAA
RNAcentral lists this long non-coding RNA (733 nucleotides) under Mytilus galloprovincialis (Mediterranean mussel). The record is from RNAcentral. Lineage: Eukaryota; Metazoa; Mollusca; Bivalvia; Mytilida; Mytilidae.